RNAcentral lists this ribosomal RNA (904 nucleotides) under Streptomyces sp. RNAcentral describes it as "bacterial SSU rRNA". It matches the Rfam family "Bacterial small subunit ribosomal RNA", at positions 56 to 977 of the family's 1533-position model. Lineage: Bacteria; Bacillati; Actinomycetota; Actinomycetes; Kitasatosporales; Streptomycetaceae. The record is from RNAcentral.
UGCAGUCGAACGAUGAACCACUUCGGUGGGGAUUAGUGGCGAACGGGUGAGUAACACGUGGGCAAUCUGCCCUUCACUCUGGGACAAGCCCUGGAAACGGGGUCUAAUACCGGAUAUGAGCCUGGGAGGCAUCUCCUGGGUUGUAAAGCUCCGGCGGUGAAGGAUGAGCCCGCGGCCUAUCAGCUUGUUGGUGAGGUAAUGGCUCACCAAGGCGACGACGGGUAGCCGGCCUGAGAGGGCGACCGGCCACACUGGGACUGAGACACGGCCCAGACUCCUACGGGAGGCAGCAGUGGGGAAUAUUGCACAAUGGGCGAAAGCCUGAUGCAGCGACGCCGCGUGAGGGAUGACGGCCUUCGGGUUGUAAACCUCUUUCAGCAGGGAAGAAGCGAAAGUGACGGUACCUGCAGAAGAAGCGCCGGCUAACUACGUGCCAGCAGCCGCGGUAAUACGUAGGGCGCAAGCGUUGUCCGGAAUUAUUGGGCGUAAAGAGCUCGUAGGCGGCUUGUCACGUCGAUUGUGAAAGCCCGAGGCUUAACCUCGGGUCUGCAGUCGAUACGGGCUAGCUAGAGUGUGGUAGGGGAGAUCGGAAUUCCUGGUGUAGCGGUGAAAUGCGCAGAUAUCAGGAGGAACACCGGUGGCGAAGGCGGAUCUCUGGGCCAUUACUGACGCUGAGGAGCGAAAGCGUGGGGAGCGAACAGGAUUAGAUACCCUGGUAGUCCACGCCGUAAACGGUGGGAACUAGGUGUUGGCGACAUUCCACGUCGUCGGUGCCGCAGCUAACGCAUUAAGUUCCCCGCCUGGGGAGUACGGCCGCAAGGCUAAAACUCAAAGGAUUUGACGGGGCCCGCACAAGCGGCGGAGCAUGUGGCUUAAUUCGACGCAACGCGAAGAACCUUACCAA